GAGUGGCGGACGGGUGAGUAAUGUCUGGGAAACUGCCUGAUGGAGGGGGAUAACUACUGGAAACGGUAGCUAAUACCGCAUAACGUCGCAAGACCAAAGAGGGGGACCUUCGGGCCUCUUGCCAUCAGAUGUGCCCAGAUGGGAUUAGCUAGUAGGUGGGGUAACGGCUCACCUAGGCGACGAUCCCUAGCUGGUCUGAGAGGAUGACCAGCCACACUGGAACUGAGACACGGUCCAGACUCCUACGGGAGGCAGCAGUGGGGAAUAUUGCACAAUGGGCGCAAGCCUGAUGCAGCCAUGCCGCGUGUAUGAAGAAGGCCUUCGGGUUGUAAAGUACUUUCAGCGGGGAGGAAGGUGUUGUGGUUAAUAACCACAGCAAUUGACGUUACCCGCAGAAGAAGCACCGGCUAACUCCGUGCCAGCAGCCGCGGUAAUACGGAGGGUGCAAGCGUUAAUCGGAAUUACUGGGCGUAAAGCGCACGCAGGCGGUCUGUCAAGUCGGAUGUGAAAUCCCCGGGCUCAACCUGGGAACUGCAUUCGAAACUGGCA
RNAcentral lists this ribosomal RNA (549 nucleotides) under Citrobacter sp. RNAcentral's name for it is "bacterial SSU rRNA". It matches the Rfam family "Bacterial small subunit ribosomal RNA", at positions 93 to 638 of the family's 1533-position model. Lineage: Bacteria; Pseudomonadati; Pseudomonadota; Gammaproteobacteria; Enterobacterales; Enterobacteriaceae. The record is from RNAcentral.